Molecule: ribosomal RNA, 468 nt
Filed under: uncultured Anaerolineaceae bacterium
Lineage: Bacteria; Bacillati; Chloroflexota; Anaerolineae; Anaerolineales; Anaerolineaceae
Description: bacterial SSU rRNA
Rfam family: Bacterial small subunit ribosomal RNA
Source: RNAcentral
AAAGGAAUUGACGGGGACCCGCACAAGCAGCGGAGCGUGUGGUUUUAAUUCGUUGCUACACGAAGAACCUUACCUGGGUUUGACAUAUAGGUUGUUAGGGAACUGAAAAGGGACGACCUUCGGGGAGCCUAUACAGGUGUUGCAUGGCUGUCGUCAGCUCGUGUCGUGAGAUGUUCGGUUAAGUCCGCUAACGAGCGCAACCCUCGCCGUAUGUUACAAGUGUCAUACGGGACUGCCGGUAAAAAGCCGGAGGAAGGUGAGGAUGAUGUCAAGUCAGCAUGACCUUUAUAUCCAGGGCUACACACACGCUACAAUGGUCUGUACAAUUGGUUGCCAAGCCGCGAGGCGGAGCCAAUCCGUAAAGCAGGCCUCAGUUCAGAUUGCAGUCUGCAACUCGACUGCAUGAAGCCGGAGUUGCUAGUAACCGCAGGUCAGCAAUACUCGCGGUCCGAAUACGUUCCGGGCCUU